Molecule: ribosomal RNA, 292 nt
Filed under: uncultured Comamonadaceae bacterium
Lineage: Bacteria; Pseudomonadati; Pseudomonadota; Betaproteobacteria; Burkholderiales; Comamonadaceae
Description: partial 16S ribosomal RNA
Rfam family: Bacterial small subunit ribosomal RNA
Source: RNAcentral
GUGUCAGCCGCCGCGGUAAUAUGUAGGGUGCGAGCGUUAAUCGGAAUUACUGGGUGUAAAGCGUGCGCAGGCGGUGAUGUAAGACAGAUGUGAAAUCCCCGGGCUCAACCUGGGAACUGCAUUUGUGACUGCAUCGCUGGAGUGCGGCAGAGGGGGAUGGAAUUCCGCGUGUAGCAGUGAAAUGCGUAGAUAUGCGGAGGAACACCGAUGGCGAAGGCAAUCCCCUGGGCCUGCACUGACGCUCAUGCACGAAAGCGUGGGGAGCAAACAGGAUUAGAAACCCGCGUAGUCC